UACGGAGGGGACUAGCGUUGUUCGGAAUUACUGGGCGUAAAGCGCACGUAGGCGGAUUUGUAAGUCAGGGGUGAAAUCCCGAGGCUCAACCUCGGAACUGCCUUUGAUACUGCAAAUCUCGAGUCCGGAAGAGGUGAGUGGAAUUCCUAGUGUAGAGGUGAAAUUCGUAGAUAUUAGGAAGAACACCAGUGGCGAAGGCGGCUCACUGGACUGGUAUUGACGCUGAGGUGCGAAAGCGUGGGGAGCAAACAGG
RNAcentral lists this ribosomal RNA (253 nucleotides) under uncultured bacterium. RNAcentral describes it as "partial 16S ribosomal RNA". It matches the Rfam family "Bacterial small subunit ribosomal RNA", at positions 524 to 776 of the family's 1533-position model. The record is from RNAcentral.